UGAAUGCACUAACUGUACGUCGCUCUGGAUAAGAGCGUCUGCUAAAUUACUAAAA
Salmo salar (Atlantic salmon) is the source of this 55-nucleotide non-coding RNA. NCBI's taxonomy places the organism in Eukaryota, Metazoa, Chordata, Actinopteri, Salmoniformes, Salmonidae. The record is from Rfam.